GCCGACCAGCUAGCCCACCCUAACAAAAACAACAACCCAAUAUAAAUAACCCCAAACACACAAACUACUCCUAUAAACAAACCAUUUUUCCCCCUUAGUAUGGGCGACAGAAAAGGAACUAUUGGAGCGAUAGAGAAAGUACCGCAAGGGAACGCUGAAAGAGAAGUGAAACAACCCAGUAAAGCCUAAAAAAGCAGAGAUUCUA
Molecule: ribosomal RNA, 205 nt
Filed under: Auxis thazard (frigate tuna)
Lineage: Eukaryota; Metazoa; Chordata; Actinopteri; Scombriformes; Scombridae
Description: partial 16S ribosomal RNA
Source: RNAcentral